GGGCGAAUGGUCUAGGGGUAUGAUAUUUGCUUUGCAUAUAAAUCUGUCAUCAUUCAAAGGAUUCAGAUCUCUUGUGCUUGCAAAGGGUCCGGGGUUCAAAUCCCCGUUCGUCCA
This is a non-coding RNA of Xylaria sp. FL0064, 114 nucleotides long. The record is from the annotation of a GenBank genome assembly. NCBI's taxonomy places the organism in Eukaryota, Fungi, Ascomycota, Sordariomycetes, Xylariales, Xylariaceae.